RNAcentral lists this ribosomal RNA (155 nucleotides) under uncultured Prevotella sp. RNAcentral's name for it is "partial 16S ribosomal RNA". It matches the Rfam family "Bacterial small subunit ribosomal RNA", at positions 372 to 524 of the family's 1533-position model. The record is from RNAcentral. Lineage: Bacteria; Pseudomonadati; Bacteroidota; Bacteroidia; Bacteroidales; Prevotellaceae.
UAGAUGCAAAUCUGAACCAGCCAAGUAGCGUGCAGGAUGACGGCCCUAUGGGUUGUAAACUGCUUUUAUGUGAGAAUAAAGUUAGGUAUGUAUACUUAUUUGCAUGUAUCACAUGAAUAAGGACCGGCUAAUUCCGUGCCAGCAGCCGCGGUAAU